CAGUCUCAGUUCGGNUUGAAGGCUGAAAUUGCCUUCAUGAAGCCGGAAUUGCUAGUAAUGGCAGGUCAGCAUACUGCCGUGAAUACGUUCCCGGGCCUUGUACACACCGCCCGUCACACCAUGAGAGUUGGGGAUACCCGAAGCCUGUGAGCUAACUUUUAGAGGCAGCAGUCGAAGGUAGAAUCAAUGAUUGGGGUGAAGUCGUAACAAGGUACC
Molecule: ribosomal RNA, 216 nt
Filed under: uncultured bacterium
Lineage: Bacteria
Description: partial 16S ribosomal RNA
Rfam family: Bacterial small subunit ribosomal RNA
Source: RNAcentral